CUUGAUUAAACCAUAAGAGGUCCAGCCUGCCCAGUGACAUUGUUCAACGGCCGCGGUAUCCUAACCGUGCGAAGGUAGCGUAAUCACUUGUCCUUUAAAUGAAGACUAGUAUGAAUGGCCCCACGAAAGCUAUACUGUCUCCUUUUUCUAAUCAGUUAAACUAAUCUCCCCGUGAAGAAGCGGGGAUAAACAUAUAAGACGAGAAGACCCUAUGGAGCUUCAAACAACUGAAACACUUGUAUAUCCUCCCCUCACCUACCAACAUUUAACCUCACAUUUUGUUUCUAGUUUUAGGUUGGGGUGACCACGGAGAAAAAACUAACCUCCACGACGAAAGAGACAUCUCUAAACAAAAAGCUACAUCUUUAUGUAUUAACACAUUAACCUUUAUUGACCCAAUAAAUUGAUCAACGAAC
This 416-nucleotide ribosomal RNA is filed under the name Anomaloglossus baeobatrachus group sp. ABGD cluster 2. Its description in RNAcentral is "partial large subunit ribosomal RNA". It matches the Rfam family "Bacterial large subunit ribosomal RNA", at positions 1822 to 2457 of the family's 2925-position model. Lineage: Eukaryota; Metazoa; Chordata; Amphibia; Anura; Aromobatidae. RNAcentral also lists the same sequence under 1 other name. The record is from RNAcentral.